GUGUAGGAUGUGUCUAAACGCGUCAUUCUGAAGACAGAGGUGUAGAAGUUGGCGUGCUUCCUAAAGCAUCACA
Small nucleolar RNA from Myotis lucifugus (little brown bat), 73 nucleotides. Its record names the gene SNORD63. It matches the Rfam family "Small nucleolar RNA SNORD63". From Rfam's summary of the family: snoRNA U63 is found in both humans and mice. U63 is a member of the C/D class of snoRNA which contain C (UGAUGA) and D (CUGA) box motifs. Lineage: Eukaryota; Metazoa; Chordata; Mammalia; Chiroptera; Vespertilionidae. The record is from Ensembl.